UAAGACGAAGGUGGCAAGCGUUGUUCGGUAUCACUGGGCUUAAAGAGUGUGUAGGCGGAAAGGUAAGCGUCCUGUGAAAGCCCCCGGCUUAACCGGGGAAUUGCGCGACGAACUGUCUUUCUUGAGCCAAGUAGGGGUGCACGGAACUGUUGGUGGAGCGGUGGAAUGCGUAGAUAUCAACAGGAACGCCGGUGGAGAAAUCGGUGCACUGGGCUUGUGCUGACGCUGAGACACGAAAGCGUGGGGAGCGAACGGGAUUAGAUACCCCGGUAGUCCACGCCGUAAACGAUGUCUACUAGGUUGUGGAAGUUCUGACGCUGCCACGGCCGAAGCUAAAGUGCUAAGUAGACCGCCUGGGGAGUACGGCCGCAAGGCUA
This 377-nucleotide ribosomal RNA is filed under the name uncultured Planctomycetota bacterium. Its description in RNAcentral is "bacterial SSU rRNA". It matches the Rfam family "Bacterial small subunit ribosomal RNA", at positions 521 to 896 of the family's 1533-position model. Lineage: Bacteria; Pseudomonadati; Planctomycetota. The record is from RNAcentral.